GGUUCGAUCCUGGCUCGAUUGAACGCUGGCGGGAUGUUUUACACAUGCAAGUCGAACGGCAGCACGGACUUCGGUCUGGUGGCGAGUGGCGAACGGUGAGUAAUGUAUCGGAACGUGUCAGUAGCGGGGAUAAUCAUGCGAAAGCGUAGCUAAUGAAUGCAUACUCCUUCGGGGGAAAGCGGGGACCUUUCGGGCCUCGCACUAUUGUAGAGCGGCCGGAUAUCGGAUUAGCUAGUUGUGUGGGUAACGGCUCACCAAGGCGACGCGAUCCGUGCUGCUUUUGAGGACGACCAGCCACUGGGACUGAGACACGGCCCAGACCCUACGGGAGGCAGCAGUGGGGAAUUUUGGACAAUGUGGAAACUCCUGAUCCAGCCAUCCCGCGUGUGCGAUGAAGGCCUUCGGGUUGUAAAGCACUUUUGGCAGGAAAGAAACGGCACGGGAUAAUACCCGUGCAACUGACGGUACUCGUGGAGAAUGGGCACCGGCUAACUACGUGCCAGCAGCCGCAGGUAAUACGUAGGGUGUUGCUAAUCGGAAUUACUGGGCGUAAAGCGUGCGCAGGCGGUUCGGAAAGAAAGAUGUGAAAUCCCAGAGUUUAACUUUGGAACUGCAUUUUUAACUAACGAGCUAGAGUGUGUCAGAGGAGGUGGAAUUCCGCGUGUAGCAGUGAAAAUGCGUAGAUAUGCGGAGGAAAAUUCACCGAUGGCGAAGGCAGCCUCCUGGGAUAACACUGACGCUCAUGCACGAAAGCGUGGGGAGCAAACAGGAUUAGAUACCCUGGUAGUCCACGCCCUGUAACGAUGUCAUAAUCAGCUGUUAAGCCUUUCGGCCCGGUAGCGCAGCUAACGCGAAGUUGACCGCCUGGGGAGUACGGUCGCAAGAUUAAAACUCAAAGGAAUUGACGGGGACCCGCACAAGCGGUGGAUGAUGUGGAUUACCCGAUGCAACGCGAAAAACCUUACCUACCCUUGACAUGUCUGGAAUCCCAAAGAGAUUUGGGGAAUGCUCGCAAGAGAACCGGAACACAGGCGUUGCAUGGCUGUCGUCAUUUCCGUAAGUCGUGAGAUGUGUUGGGUUAAGUCCCGUAACGAGCGCAACCCUUGUCAUUAGUUGCUACGAAAGGGCACUCUAAUGAGACUGCCGGUGACAAAACCGAGGAAGGUGGGGAUGACGUCAAGUCCUCAUGGCCCUUAUGGGUAGGGCUUCACGUCAACCGAAUGGUCGGGGACAGAGGGUCGCCAACCCGCGAGGGAGCCAAUCCCAGAAACCCGAUCGUAGUCCGAUCGCAGUUCGCAACUCCACUGCAAGAAGUCGGAAUCGCUGGGGUAAUCGCGGAUCAGCAUGUCGCGGUGAAUACGUUCCCGGGUCUCUGCACACACCGCCCGUCACACCAUGGGAGUGGGUUUUACCAGAAGUAGUUAGCCUAACCGUAAGGAGGGCGAUUACCACGGUAGACUAUAUGACUGGGGUGAAGUCGUAACAAGGUAACUCGCUGGCCACCUACGCUCCCA
RNAcentral lists this ribosomal RNA (1514 nucleotides) under uncultured Bordetella sp. RNAcentral's name for it is "partial 16S-23S ribosomal RNA intergenic spacer". It matches the Rfam family "Bacterial small subunit ribosomal RNA". Lineage: Bacteria; Pseudomonadati; Pseudomonadota; Betaproteobacteria; Burkholderiales; Alcaligenaceae. The record is from RNAcentral.